This 36532-nucleotide long non-coding RNA is filed under the name Ananas comosus (pineapple). Its description in RNAcentral is "long non-coding RNA (ACOM_LNC042711)". The record is from RNAcentral. Lineage: Eukaryota; Viridiplantae; Streptophyta; Magnoliopsida; Poales; Bromeliaceae.
CGAUUUUUGGAUAAUCUAUUCUAGCUCGAAUUCAUGGAUUUAAUGGUAGAUUUCAUAUCUGAAUUUGGAGCAUGUGGUAAUAAAUUGAAUAGGUUAUACAUGUUGGACUUGGAAAUUGAAUUAGGAGAAAACCUGCGAUUUGGACCUGUCACUUGAUUAAACUGCCUGAUUUAGCUCUAGGAGCCGUUAUUAAAUUGUACUGUCGCGGUAUCUUCGAGACGAGUACUCCAGAUAGUUUAGAGUAUAUCUACACUCGUGCUGUUUCGCCGAGGGGAUUUUAUAGGGUCGUUCAGGCUGUUCCAGACUGUAGGGUGCCGUUGAGGUUGACGGUGGACCCGUAUCGCCUUUUUGGCGUCUGAUUGUGCUGAGGGCACGUUACUUGUUGGUUGUUAGACCAGUUAGAGUCGAUUUCUUGACUUUGGCUUUUCAGAGCCUGUUUGAGCUCGACAGAGAUACGCUGCAUACUCGGUUGGGUAGCGCCCACGAGUGCCACUCCGGAGUCAGGCUUUGUGCUUUCGCGUUGAUGUCGCUCAUGCCAGUUGGACUUGCUCUCCACGGACCAGUUAGUGUGGAUAGAGCUUGAUAGUCGCAACGGGGCAGGGACGGGUGUAUUCACAGUCCCGGGGACGGGUAUGCUUACAGUCCCGAUUGGAUUGGGUCAGAUUUGACAUGUCCUACAGUUGGUUAAUAUAGAGCAUGAUAGUGUAGUGAUUGAUAGCGGUAGAGUGUACUUCCUGCUUUUCCUACUAUUCUUGCUCCCUUCUGUAGACUUAGUGGGUGACCGAUAUUAUUUUGGGCGGUACCCACGGAGGACUACUUGUUUUUACAGUAGUUUUCACGCCCAGUUGUUACCUAUGUUUUUGUAGAGCCACAGGUUCCGGCUGCUGCACCGUCCGUGGAUCAGGAUCGAGGCAAGGGCGUCGCGAGUUAGAACCCUACCCGACGUGCUGAGCUAGAGGUGCCCUACUGCAGGUAGAUGUUUUGUUUCGAGUUUAUGUACAUAGUUGACUUAACUCGCCAGUGCGAGUAGCUCUGUAUUUUGGAUCUGAACUAUGUAUAUGAAACUCUGUUUGUUUAACUUCUAUUUUCUCUAGCAGCUCUCUACUACUGUUCGUAGUAGUGUUUGAUUUACAGGUACAGCUGUCACUUCGUAUAUAGGAAAAAUUUCUUUGUAUACGGCGGAUUUGUCGGCGUGCCCGGGGAACGUGUAAUCCGGGGCGUGACAGGGGGAACAAGGCCCUGGUAGAGAGAGAGAGAGAGAGAGAGAGANAUACAUUGGCCACUUCUUGGUAAAUACAUAAAGCAAGAUUUGAAGAGAAAUUUUUGUGAGACUACGGCACUCACCGAACCAGGCAAACGGGUGAGUUGAGUAAUCUGCAUCCGGGUCACAAUAUCCGCUAAUUAGAGGAGUAUGAAUAAAAUUUACUCAUACAUUUUUGGGUAAUCAAUAUUUUUACCCGUAUCCAUCCACAUGCGGGCAGGUUGGUAUGCGAGUUACCCACAAGUUUUUUUCUUUUUCCUACUCCUAUGCUUUCUAAAUACAAAACAUAUAUAUAUAUUAAAAACAUAACGUAACUCCUUAUUUGAAAUAUCAUAACAUAUAAUUAACAAUAUAAAAUCUUUAAAGUAUAUACAUUAUAUAAUAUAAAAGUAUUUUAUCGUCCCAAAUUUUUAAGAUACAAAAUUAAUAAAAUUUUUACUAUUAUAGAGUCAAUAAUAUAAAAAAUACAUAUUUUUUAAUUAAAAAAUAUAUAUGCGGGUAUCCGUGGGUACCUGCGGAUUGUCCUAAAUAUCCAUCACUCAACGGGUACCCACUCGUUUUACCUAUAAUUUUUUGGCUAAAAAAAACUAGUAUCCAUAUCCAUAAAUUUGCAGAUAAUCUGCGAAAACCCGUGAGUAUGGGUAGAGAUUGCCGGGUCUAAGGCCACUAAGGCACUAACAUGCUUUAAAAAAAAAAUUAAAAAAAAGAAAGAAAAGAAAAUUAAAACUUGUGAACCAAAAGCACACUCGAUCCGUUCUCCUAGCCAGAGGUAAAAAAAUAUAUGAAGUUACCCUCAACUUUAAGACAUUCUGAAACACGCCAUUCAAUUUUAACUUCUUAAUUGAGAUUUCCAUUAGGGUGCGUUUGGUUUGUGUUAUAUUUUUAAGAUUCCUAAUAAUCUAAUAGAAAUAAUAAAAUAUGACGGUGUUUGGCUAAACGCAUUAAGUAAUCUAAUUGGUAAUAUUAUAUUUACUUGGGAAUGAGAUUUAUCCCAAAGUACAAAUCUCAUUCCCUUGAGAGAGGGUGGGUAUCCUCAUAUUAAUGAAUUGAGGUAAUCAUAAUAUGUCUAAUAUCUUUCUUUCUUCCAAUCCGCCAGUUAGUUGGUAUUAUUUUUCUUUACACUCUAACCUCAUAUCUCUCUCUAAACUUCAACUCUUUUUCUCUCUCUAAACUAAGCUCGCUCUCCCCCUUUUUCCUAAAAUCUCAAUUCUCUCACUCCCUCUAAUCCCGAUUCUAUUUCUUUUCCUAUUUUUGUAAUUAUGCUUUCUCUCUCUAACCUAUGUUCUCUCUCCUUUUUUUUCUAAAAAGAUGUUAAAAUUUAUUGUAGCAUUAUCUAAAAUUAAUUAAAGAAAUAAAUAAAUUAAUUGUAUAUUUUUUUGUAAUCUUAAAUAACAUGAUUAAAUAAUAUGACCAUACGAACCAAAGACAGUAAUACCAUAUUCUUAGUAAUAGGAUGAGUAUGAAUAAAAUUCUCUGAUAUUUUUUUAUUCCUAGUAAUCUUUCAUAGUGCCAACCAAACGUACCCUUAACUUUUUAAAUUUUUAUUCAAGUUUUUAUAGUUAAUUAAGUUAAAAAUAUUGUUAAAUUUUGUUGUUCAAUUAACUAUCACCAGCUAAUUAAUUUAAUUUUCAUACAUACUCACCCAGCUCCCAAAUUGAUGUGUGACCAUAUCAUGUCGUCAAAAUGACUCGUUCAAAAUCGUUCCACCGAAUCUAAGGAACUUAAUUGGAUGGAAAUUAUGACAUCUAAUUUUAUUGGUAGGAGCAAUCACCAUCAAUUUUUAUCAAACCCUAGACUCAUACGCAAUCAAAGUAUACCCCUUAGACCAAUUCUUGUUAAAAUAAAAAAAGAAAAAAAAAUACAAAUACCCCCCUCAACUUUAGUACGUUCGCAAAUUGACAUCAGAACUUUUAAUUUUGAUAAUUAGAUUUUCUAAUUUUUUUUUAUCAAAGUUUAAUAAACCGCUUCCUUUCAGCAAAAUUACUAAUUGAGUAGUGGUUUUGAUUAUAUGUCUUGCACAUAAUUUUACAUAAAUUUAAAAUAUUUAUUUUUCUCUUCUAGUUAUAUUGCUGAGUACUAGAAUACUUAUGAAUAAAAUGAAUCCAUUUUUAAUUUUUAUUUCUGUUUUUAUGUGUUAGAUAACAAAAAUAGAUUUUUAUAUAAUUUUAAAAUUGUAUAAAAUUAUGUACAAUAUAAGUGACCAGAAUGAUUAUAUGAUUAGUCAUUACAAUUAAAGAGAGAGAGAGGUACAUUUAAAUAUUUGAUAAAGUUUAGAUGAUUUAGUUAUCAAAAUUAGAAAUUUAGAAGCCUACUUGCAAAAAAAGAAUUAUUAAAAGUGUGUUUGUACAUUUUUUUCUAAAAAAUUAUUCAAAACGUCGUAGAAAUAUCUAGGCAAAGCAAUUGAUGUCAUGGCUUUGGUACCAGGUCAUAAAUUCAAAAUUUUCUCAGUUAAAAGUUCUACCUUUAUUCCAUGUAUCUCUUAAUCUUAGAGGAAUCAACUGCUAUAUUGCUUACUGCAGAAGUAUCAAUAGAGAAUUUUGUUUUGGUAUCCCAAUCCUAAUUUAACUCAACAAGUGCUAAAGUGAUUAUUUUAGAAAUAUCAGUAAAGAAUUAGGGUUUGAUGAGUCCUGCUGCUAUACUAUCAAUAGUACUAAACGUUUGGUGCUAUCGAGUUUUCCCCCAUUAGAUCUACCUUUUUAACCAUUUCCAUCCGUUAGAUUAUACUAUUCAAUUAAUCACCCACUCAACCCUAGAAGAUCGCUAUCAUCCUAACCGCACAUCCCUUCAUUCAAGGAUCGAAAACCUAAUAAUGUCAAGCGCUUGGCACUAUUAAUAGUAUAGUAGCCUAAUUCAGGGUUGGAUAUCUCAGUCCUGAUUUAACUCCAAUACACAUUAUAAUCUAUCUUAGUUUGGCAUUCAUAUCCUGUGUACAAAGCUUUAUGGAAUUUAAUUUAUUAUCUAUGAAAGCUAAGCACUCAUCCAGCUUAAGAUUUGCUUGGCCUUACUUUUAUCUUUAUUUUGAUUUUUCCUAGUAGUUAACAUUUAACAUAUAUAUAUACAUAAUUUUUAGUAGAGUACUCUGCAGUAAAAAAAAAAAAUUAAAAACAUAAAAACUGUGAAGCUUUCUGCGCAAUUAAAUAACAUGAAAUGAACUGUUUGUCUUCAAAAACUUAAAUUACCAGAGAAUAUUAUUUUGCAUAUUCAAGUUAUGGAUUUGAAUUUAAUAGAGAAAAAUUAAAUGAAGGAGCUCAAUGGAAUUUGGACUUAAGAACUCCACCCUUUAUAGCUAUCUGAAAAUAGUGUUUAAUAUUUUUAUAUUUCAAUUUCUCAAAUCACAUCGUGUGAAAUUCAAAUUUAGAAUCUUCUGUUUUGAUAUUAUGAUAAACGACUUAGGCCAACAAUUAGGCCAAUUACACAAUGCAUCGAGGUCAAGCCACGCGAUUAUUGGGCUAACUACAAAUUAGGGUAUGCAAAGUAUGCUCUGAUAUUGCAUUAAAUAAUAUAAAUAAUAAUCAUUUAUCACUAAAAACUUAAUUUAGAAGAGAACAGUAUUUUUAUAUUUUAUAUUUAAUAAUAACUUAAAGAUAAGAUAGUAAUUGAAAAAACUAGAAGUUACUAUCGUGCAAUCUUGUAUUAGCUGAAUUAGAUAUCACAUUAUUAAUUACAACAAACUAUGCUGUACAAAUAGUAAAUAUAAAACUCAUAUUAAUUUAGAGUAAAAAGAAAAUAGAUUCACAAAAAAAGCAUAAUGUAUUUUUAGUUUUGGCUAAUUAUUUAUUAUGAUUAAUAUGAGACCCAUUAUAUUGAUAAAAAAAAAAAAAAUUGAGUACAAAGAAUGCAUUCAUAAAUUGAAUUAUAAAUAAAAAUUGAGUUAUAUAUUUUGUGAUAAAAAUAAAUUUAUUAGCCCUAUAUGAUACUACAUAAUUAUUUAUAAUUUACUAAUUUAUAGAAGCAAAAGUAAUAUUUGCGAUAUUUUAUAACUUUGAGAGACACAUUUCAAAUUACCCCUAAAUUCUAUGGGAAUAAUAUCUAAUAUACCUCUCAAAAUAUUUGAAAUAUUUUAUAUACCCUACUAUUUUUUUGUUUCAAAUACAUCUAUCAUAUAUUUCUCCAUUAUUCAAAAAUAACUCCGCUGCUAAUAAAUAUUAAGUCAUCUCGGAUUAAACUUGGAUUAAGUUUCUACAUAAUUAAAAAAAGUCAAAAUACCUCUAACUUAACAGCAAAUUAAAAGUGUUGAUGACAAUAAAAAAAAAAUAUUUAAGAGAGAAAAAUAGUAAUUUAACAAAAAUAACGAUUAUUUUUAAUAAUUUACUAAUAGAAUUUAACUCCACUAUUUUCUUAGAAAUCACUUGAAAUGUCAAUAUUCUUAAUAUUUGACUUUUAAAAAAAACUGGUAACUUCUCAUAUGUAUAUAAAUAAUUAUCUCAAUUUUAUAUGCACGCAAUAACUGUACUAAAGAAGACCAGCUUCUCUUAGUCCAAAACCAAAUAAGUUUUUUUAUUUCGAAAAAAAAAAAAAACAAACAAACAAGCAAAUUUUCAUACAACUCUUCUUCUCUCCGUAUUAUUAUAUAGCCCCGUGUGACGCCCCGUUUCUCUCGUUUCUUCAAUCCCCCAGCCUCCCCCCGUCCACGGCUCCACCUUACAUCUUCCAUCCCCAAAAGCAAAAAAGAAGAGAAGCAGACCGCCCAGCAGCGCGUCCCCAUCCAUCUGUCCGUCCGUCCGUCCGUCCGUCAGUCCUUCUGUCCCCGACAAAAACCGCCGAGCCGAAAGUCCGACUCCCACCUACCACUCCUUUCCUCUCUCACCAACCUCUCCUAAACCCUCCUCCUCAUCUCCCCUCCCCCUGCAGCCUACCCAAAACCCAACCAUCAUAACCACCUUCAUUUCUUUUCAAACGGUUGGUGGCAGACGCAGACGCAGACUCCGAAAAGCGAUGAAAAAGCUCUACCACGGGAAGGCCGGCCGUCGGGUCCACCCGUCCGCUCCCCCGCCACCGCCGUCGGCGUCCCCAAAAUUUCUGAUUCAGCUGGCAGCCCUCCCCGCCGCCGUCCUGGCCCUGGCGGCCGCCCUCUCUCCCGAGGAGCAAGAAGUCCUCGCCUACCUCCUCUCCGGCGGCGGCGAAGGAGGAGGAGGAGGAAAAGGGCGGCGCCGCCGGCGCGGCGGAGGCGCCGUGCUCCACCCGCCGGAGCUGGGCUGCGGGUGCUUCGCCUGCUACAAGAGCUUCUGGGCGCGGUGGGACGCGUCGCCGAACCGCCACGUGAUCCACCGCAUCAUCGACGCCGUCGAGGAGCAGGCCCUCGAGCCCCGCCGCGGGCGCCGCCGCCGCGGGAAGUGCGGUAGCGCGCAGCACCAGCAGCAGCAGCAGCAGCAGCAGCCGCUGGAGGCGGCGGCUGCGGAGGAGGACGGCGUUGAGGAGACAGCGGCGGCGGCCGAGGAGAAGGGGAUUGCGAUCGCCGAUGAUGAGCACGAUGGCGACGAUGAUGGGGACGAUGAAGAUGACGACGAUGAUGCCGAUGAUGCCGAUGAAGAAGAAGAAGAAGAAGACGAAGAAGAAGAAGGAGAAGAAGGGGUUGGUGGGGGGCUUAGCAACCGUGAUGGUGAGAGCAAGAGCACGGUGAGGAAGUUUGUGAGUUUUAUUGUGGACAGGGUUUGGGGAAACUGAAAACCUAAAGUGAUGGUAGAAGGUCGAAAUUAGAAUUGAAGUUUUUCCUGGUUUGGAGAUCAAGAAGGUCAGUUUCCUCUUCCUUCUUUUUUUGGCUAAUUUUGGCAAGGAGAGGAGAGUUGCAAGUCGCAACUCCUUUCUCCUCUCUGUUGUGUAAUAUAUUUAGAUCCUGCUGGCUGAAAUUAGAGAAUUAAUUAAUUCAGGCCUACUUUUGCAAUCUAAGUUGCCCUUUUGAUCCAUGUAAAAAAAAAAAGGCGGGGAUUGGAAAGCUUUUUCUAUCUAAUCUAAUUUUGGUGAGGAGAGUUGUAGCUCCUCUCUGUUUUUGUAAUAUAUUUUUCUGCUGGCUGAAAUAAGAAAAUUCAGGCCUACUUUGCUCCAAUAUUAGCCUCUUUGGUACUUUGCUGCGAUAUUUUUUUUACUCCAUUUUUGCCCUUUUUUUUUUGUCUAUGAAUUGGACUUCUUGUGAAGAUAAUGCUAGCGAGAGAAAAUUUUAUAUAUUUUUUUACAGUGAAUAACUAGUUUUAUCUCUUCUUUUUUUGUUUUUUCUUUUUUUUUAAAAAAAAAAAUUUAGUUUUGAGAGGAGGAAAAGAAUGGAAUGGGGAUGGCAUUGUUGUCAUCCAUUGCAUCUUUCUAAAGAAUCAAUGUAAGUUGAUAGAUGAGAAGUUGAUAGAUGAGAAGAUAGAUGAAGAGGCUUGUGUCAUAUAUAAAUAGCUCAAUAAUCUCUCUAACUGUUAGAACAGUAUAACACCAUGUACUACUCCUCUCAACUAUUCAAUCUCAUGUUCAAUAGUUGUAGAUAGAAUCUUCAUAAUUGGUCCAUUAUUGUAAGUCGACCCAAUUUUGUGCAAGUUAGAUACUCCUUUUUUUUUUUCUUGAAAAAUUGCUUUGUACCUUUAGGUACCGUUUGGUUGGGGAACAAGGGGGGAAUAAGCCCUUGUUCCCCCCUUUGUUCCCAAACGCUAUGUUUGGCUUCCGGGAACAGUAGUUUUCGGGAAUCUGGAACUAGCUGGAAUAAGGCUGGAACUGCUGUUCCACCCGUUUCCUGGAACAAGCUUGUUCCUUGAUGAGAACAAGAUUAAUUAAAAUCUAAAUUUAAUUUUAAUGGCAAUAAAUUAUUAAUUAAUCUAAUUAAUAUAUUUAAAUUAUUAUUUAUUAUUUUAAUAAUUAAAUAAUUAAAUAAUUUAUUAUUUAUAAUUAAUUAUUAAUAAUUAGAUAAUAAUUAUUAUUAAUUUAUUAUUUAUAAUUAAUUAUUAAUAAUUAAUAAUAUUUAUUAAUUUUUUAUUAAUAAUUAUUAAUAAUUAUUAUUCUUAAUGAUAAUCGAUAUUAUUAUUAAUAUAUUAUUUAUAAUUAAUAAUUAAUAAUUAAUAUUAUUAUUUAUUAAUAAUUAAUUAAUAAUUAUUAUUCUUAAUAAUUAGAUAAUCGAUGUUAUUAUUAAUUUAUUAUUUAUAAUUAAUUAUUAAUAAUUAUUAUUAUUAUUUAUUAAUAAAUAUUAAUAUUAAUUAUUAUUAAUAAUUAGAUAAUCAAUAUUAUUAAUAAUUUAUUAUUUAUAAUUAAUUAAUAAGAAUAAUUAAUAAUUAUUAUUAUUUAUUAAUAAUUAAUAAUAAUAAUAAUUAUUAUUAAUUAGAUAAUCGUUAUUAAUAAUUUAUUAUUUAUAAUUAAUUAUUAUUAUUAAUUAUUAUUUAUAAUUAAUUAUUAAUAAUUAAUUUUUUAUUUAUUUUUAAGUAAUAUUUUUAUGUUAAUUAAUUACAUAAUAUAAUUUUAAUUGCAAAUUAUAACGUUUAUUCCUCUUGUUCCAAUCUAAUCAUCCAAACACUUUUUACCUUAUUCCCAGGAACAACCCAAUUUUCAUCCAAACGCAAAAUUGGUCUAGUUCCUGCUUAUACCUGAACUUGUACCUAUCCCUAGAACUAGCAGUUCUUACUUAUACCCGAACCAAACGCAGCCUUACUAGUUUUACAAUUUCUUUUCUACAAAUACAAUAGUCUUGUGUUAGGCUUUUUUGUUACUAUAAUUAUUUUUCUUCUUAUAAAUUAAAUUACUUAUUUUUUCUCUUUUGAUGCUCUCUUUAUUGGUAAGUGGUAUAUUGUAAGUUGGCACUAAAUUAUUGGCAAUUUGUGACACUCCUCAUAUUUAUAAUACUCAUAUAUAUGAGAUAUAUUAUGAUUAAAUUUUUUAAUCUAAUUAUAACAUUUUGGAUAGUUGUUCGGUUCAAAUAAUUAAGAGAACUAAAUAUAUUAGAGUCAGAGCAGUUUUAGAAUAGAUGAUUUCUUGAGAAGUGAAACGUCACAGGUGAUAUUAGGAUCAAUCAAUAGCCACAAGUGUGAGAUAAAUCUAAGCUAAGUCAGAAAGGUCAGCUAAGUCGAAAAGUUUAAGAAAGUUAAGAAUACUAGGGCUUAAAUAGUCCUAAUAUAGAUAAUCUCGUAGAAAAUGGGACGUCACAAAAUUAAUCAUGUUGAAUGUGUUUAAAUGCUAAUGAUAUUAAUGGGUUCCCACUAAGCAUGCACCAAAUUAUAUAAAGCCUACUAAAGCUAACACAAAAUACCUACCUUUCUACGAAAAAGUAAACCAAAAGCAUCAAUCCCCCCUCACUUUUCUAAAUAAUGUGUCACAACUCACAAGUUGCUUUUCUCUAGCCAAUUACAAGGUGAAAGGUAAGGGACAUUGGUAGGGAGCGCCCUCUUUGUUUGUUCUUGCAUUGGGGAGAAGGUAGAAAAGCCAACAGAAGGGGGGCUUUGUAGAAAGGUGUGAGGACAAAAGCGGUAAGCACGAUGUCCCGGAAACAUUGGUGGUGGUGGUGGUGGGGGCGGCGGCGGCGGCGGCGGCUUCGGUAUUACCAAAAGGAGUGAAAGGGAGACUCGGGAAUUAUUCCACACACCAAAUGCAUCAUUUAUUGUGUUAUAAAAUUCCAUCAUUAUUACCGAUCAUUCCUACAGCAAGUGGCAAAAUACUUAGUGGUUGAUAUCCGAUACCCAAGUUCAAACUCUAAUUGAUUCAUAUUUUUAGCUAAAUUUAUUUCUAAAUAAAAUAAACGAAGCAAGUAGCGUGCUACCUAUCUCUCAAAAAAAAAAAAAAUUUCCAUUAUUAUUUCUCCAGAGUUUAAAAAAAAAAAUGUACGAAGAUCUCCUAAUUAAACUUUAGCGCCACUAUUCUAAAUUUUUUAAUUUUGAUAAUUAGACGACUUAAUUUUAUUAAAUAGUUUAAUAGAUCAUUUUCUUUAAUCAAUGAUAAAAAAAUAUUUUUUUAUUCUAAUAAAUGAAAGAGUUAUACAAUUGAAGAUAAAUGCACUCUAUCCUUUAAUCUUAAUAUUUAGAUAUCUUAAGUAAAAAGAAAAUAUAUUUUUUUUAUAUUUUAAAGUUAUAAAAAGUAAUAUGCAAGACAUGCUAUUAUUAAAAUAGCUAUUCAAUUAGUAACUUUAUUCGAAAUAGAGACGCAUUAAAUUAUUUGAUAAAAAUUUAGAAUUCUAAUUGCCAAUUAGAAGUGCAAAUUAUUUUACGAGAUCUUCGUACACUUUUGCAGAUCUAUGUGUCACGGACACUUCUGUAAGCCUAGCAUAUUCAUGUCGGACACAUGUCUGAUGUGGACACUCAUUGAACGCCCAUUUAAUACCGAUCCAUAACGCAUACAACUAAUAUACAUAUAAUAUAUAUGAGUCCAGCUACUAUACUCUUAUGAAUAUGAUCGCCCUCGUACUCAUAAGUUAUUUUCGAUGAUAGGGCUUUCGAAUCGACAAUCCAUACCGUUAAAUAUUAUCUAGAGCAUUUAAAACUUCUAGAAAUUAAAUUUCAUAAUUUUCGAUAUCAUUUACCUUACGAUCAAAAGCUCACAAAAUUGAUAAUUUUUAACGGCCGGUAUGGGAUAGUUGUUAGUUUAAAGGUGUAAAAGAAUUGGAAUAGGUUGAAGUUUUGAUAGAAAAUUCUAUUCACUACCUAGAUAAAGAUUAAUAACUCCGAUCUUAAAUUGAAGAAUCUGAUCAUCCAUUUUUAAGACGUCGUUCGAUUUUGACCGUUUAUUUUAUGUCCGUUUGAUGGACUUUAUUAUAAUUUUGAAAAAUUACGAAAUUUAUUUUUUAGAAGUUUCAAAUACUCUAGAUCAUAUUUAAUGGAAUGGAUUGUCGAUUUGGAAGCCCUAUAAUCGAAAACAACUUAUGAGAACGAAGGGCCCAAUACUCAUAAGAGUAUAGUAGCCCUACUCAUAUAUAUACUAAUAUAUAUAUUAUAUAUAUAUAUAUAAUAUAUUAUAUAGUAUAUACAUAUAUAUAUAUAUAAACACUAGGUUGAGCUAGAAUAUCGUCAACAGCACAAAAGGUUGGUGCUUUUGAGUUUUUUAACCCUUGGAUGGAGAUAAGUAAGAUUGGUGAUGGUGGUAGUUGGUGGUAGGGAAAUAGUAUUUGAUCAAGGCUUUAGUAAUCAGGAGUAGAUCAAGGGCUAAAACUAAUGAGCCACAGGUGAUUACUUCUAAGAAGGAUUUCUAGCUAAUUAUAUACUAUAUAUAUAGAGUCCGGCUAUGGUAUGUGUAAAAGCACUAAGCACUUGAUCUUGUAAAAUUUUUACGUUCAGGAUAUACACCUUUCUCCCGUUAGAUUAUUCUAUUCAGAUCAAGUCACCCACGUCAAACCUAGAGGGCCCACAUCAUCCUAACCGCACAUCCCUUAAUCUAAGGGCGAAACUUACAAGCAUCAAUAGACUUGGGUACUUUAAAAAAUGAAGCUAAAUCUCUAUACAUAUAGAGUCGACUACGGUAUAUCGUAUGAGUAACGAUCGUCCUCGUACUCAUAAAUAUGUUUUCGAUGAUAGAGCUUCCGAAUCGACUUAAUCCACACCGCUUAAACUCUAUUUAGGGCAUUUAAAACUUUAGAAAUCAAUUUCAUAAUUUUCGACAUCAUUUAAACUUAUGAUCAAAAGCUUCAAAAAAUUACAAUUUUUACUGCGGUAAGAGAUACUUUUCUAGCUUUAACGGUGAUGAAAAGAAUCGGAUAGGUUGAAUUUUAUAGAAAAUUCUAUUCAUACCUUACAUAAAGGAUCAAUAAUCCAAUAAUCUUAAAUUGGAAGGAUCGAUCAUCCAUACUUUUAAGACGCUCGUAUCGAUUUUGACCGUUAAUUGUUAUGCCUGUGCUUAAUGGACUUUAUUAUGAUUUCGAAAAUUAUGAAAUUAUAUUUUCUAGAAGUUUCCAAAUUACUCUAGAUAUAUUUAACGAAGUGGAUCGUCAAUUGGAAGAUCCUCAUCGAAAAACAACUUAUGAAGUAUAAGGCCCAUACUCAUAAGAUAUAGUACCCUACUAGGUAAUUAUAUAUAAUAAUAUAUAUAUAUAUAUAUAUAUAUAUAUAUUAAUAUAUUAUUAUAUAUUAUAUAAUAUAUACUAUAUAACUAAGCUGGAAUACUACUCAAUAGCACCAAUUAUUGGAUGCUAUUUAGGUUUCGGCUGAUAGAUGAAAAGUUACAGUUACGAUGAUGGUAGGGUCAUCUAGCGGUUAAGUGAGUUAUUGGUUAAAUAGUAUAAUUAAUAGCGUUAAAAUAAUAAUGGAUUAAAUCUAACGGUGGAAAAGUGUUUUGGUAGUACUAAGCGCUUAGGUAGUAUCGAUUAGUAUUCCAGCCGGACUAUAAUAUAUAUUAGUAUAUAUAUAGUAAUAUAUAGUUAUAUAUAAUAUAUAAUAUAUGCUACUUUACUAUCAACCAACCGUUACUGUGUACUAUUUGAACGUUUUCGGCGUUGGAUGAAAGGAUGUGAAGUGAGGAUGAUAGUGUCCCUAGGGUUGAGUGGGUAGUGGUUGUUUAUGUAUAAUCUAACUAUGAUGGAAAUGAUCAAAGGAUCAGAUCUAAACGGUAGAAAAGUCAAUAUACCGAAGGCUUGAUACUAUCGAUAGUAUAGUAGCCGGACUCUAUAUAUAUAUAUAUAUAUAUAUAGUGGAACUGGUAUGCUUUUGGAAGCACGGAGCCCUCCUUGCUUCCAAGUUGUUUCAAUGUUUCUCAGACUUUUGAAUCAACGAUCGGCUCUUGUUAGAGUUGCUAGAGUAUUUGAAGUAUCUAGAAAAUAAUUUUUACUUUUUCGAUAUAUUUGAUAGUGAUCCGAAGGGGCCUCAAGAAUAAUAAUUUUAAUGGCGUGGUGAAGCAUUUGCAAUUUACCGCGUGUAGAAAUAUCCAAUCACAUUGAAAUUUUGAUAGAAAAUUCUUAUACCAUAUAAAACAAAAUCAAUAACUUGAUUUAAAUCUUUUAAUUCAUAUUAUCAUAUUUUGUAAGAUUUUUAUUUUCAACCGUUGAUUUUGAGCCACUUCGAUCGACUUAGGCAGCAUGACUAUCGAAAAAUCACAAAAUUUAGGUUUCUAGUGUACUUCAAAUACUCUAGAAUCAAGUCACGGAGACCGUGUCGAUUGAAAAGUUCGAAUACGAGAAACAACUUUGGAAGCACGGAGCGCUGUGUUUCCGAAGAUAUCAAACGCGCAUAUAUAUAUAUAUAUAUAUUAUUAUAUAUAUUAUUUUAGGAUAUAGACUGAAAUACUAUCAAUAGCACCAAAUUAUUAUUGCUAUUAGAUUUUCUACCCUUGGAUAAAAAAAAUAUACAGGUAGAAUGAUGUGGGCCCCCUAGGUUUGAGUGAGUUAUUGGUUUAAUAGUAUAAUCUAACGGAUAAAAAUAGUCAAAGGGUUAAAUCUAACAGCGGAAAACUUGAUAGCACCAAACGUUUGGUAUUAUCGAUAGUAUCACAGCCGGACAAUAUAUAUAUAUAUAUAAGCUGGGGCUACUAUACUCAUAUGAGUAUAGAUCCCAUUGUACUCAUAACUUUUCGGCCGUUCAGACGAAAAAAUGUACGGUUAGGAUGAGAGUCGUUACGACUAAGUUGAUAGUGGGCCCUCUAGGGUUGAGUGGGUGGUUGGUUGAAUAGUAUAAUCUAACGGGUGAAAAUAAUUAAAAGGUAGAUCAAGCGGCAAAAAACUUAUUAGUACAAGAGCCUCUAUACUCAUAAGAGUAUAGUAGCCAUACUAUAUAUAUAUAUAUAUAUAUAUACACUACAACAAAAAUGGUCUAUAGCGACACUUUUAAAUGUCGAUACAGGUCAAAAAAAUUGUUGUUGGCUAAAUUAGCAACACUUUUAAAAAGUGUUGCUAUAUGUGGGGUCGCUAGGUAUAUAGUGACUGUUAAAGAGUGUCGCUAUAACCUAAAAAGAGUGCUGCUAAUUUACCAACACUUAUUUAAGUAUUUAGCAACCACCGGAACUCUACCUCGUUGGCUGCGGUGGCGGAGGAGGACGAGAGGAAGGGAUCUUCGUCUAGGAUUUCAGUGGAUUGAGUGAGGGGAGAAGGGAAAAUGGUAAUCGAUUUUUCUUCCUUUUUUUUUUCUUUUCUGUUUGUAAUCGGGUCGAAUGGGCCAGGUGGGGUGCGUUGAGUAGAGUAACAUUUUAUUUUUGGUUGGAUUUGGCUUUAUAUUUAGGCAUUAGUAGAUUUUGUUUAAAGUUUUGGUAUCAGUGGGACGCUUAUAGAAAAGUGUCCCAAACAUGUGUCCCUAUAACCUAAUUCUGUUGUAGUUAUAUAUAUAAAUAUAUAUAUAGAGUAGGUCUCCCGUACUUUCGAAAGUACGGAGGCCUCCGUGCUUGUAAGUUGUUAUCGAUGAUAGGACAUCCGAUUUGACGAUCGGCUCCGUUAGGCAUAAUCUACGCUGUUGAAACUAUCUAGAAACCAAAUUUUAUAAUUUUUCGACUUCAUUUACCAAGCGAUCAAAGGGUCUCAAAAUUGACUAUUUGAACGGCCGAUGUGGCACGUUUUUAAGUUCAACGGUGUAGAAGUAUCCAAAUGACGAUGAAAAAUUUUAUAGAAUUCUUUUCACUAUUUAGAAUAAGACAGUAUAUCCAGAUCUUGAUUUUAAUAUUCUUUAUUGAGUCAUUUUUUUAUAAGAUUAUUUUCAGCGUUAAAAUUUUAACACUACUGUUUGAUAAGGUAAUGAUAGUCGAAACAUUAAUUUAAAUUUUAGUUUUAAUACUUUCAAUAGUAUAGAUCAACUCUAAUGGAGCGAUCGUCGAUAUAUGGAAGCCACGAUCAUCGAAAAAAUUGGUAAGCAACGGAAGCGCCAGUGCUAUGAUAGUAUUAGUAGAGCCUACCUAUAUAUAUAUAAUACUAUAUAUAGUCCUGCCGAUAUCUAAUCGAUAGUGAAGAGUAUUUGUGCUAUCAUAGUUUUCUGCCGUUAAUUUGGCCAGUCUUUUAUCAUUUCAUCCGUUUCAGAUUAUACUAUUCGAACUAACCACACCACUCAACCCCUAGGAGGCCAAUUUCCUAACAUGAAUUCUUUUAAUCCAACGCAAAAAUUAAUAGUGCAAAGUCAUUUGGUGCUAUUUACCGUUCGAUUUAUGACUAUUCAACUAACAUGCACCACUCAACCCUAGGGCCAACAUUAUCCUAACCAUAUAUUCUUUUAUCCAAAUGCAAAAACUAAGUACACAAAGAUCUGGUGCUGAUUAAUAUAUCUAAGCCUAGUUCUAUAUAUAUAUAUAUAUAUUAUCUAUAUAAUAUAUAAUAUAUAUAUAUAUAUAUAUACGAAUUAGGCUACUUAUACUAUCUAUAGUUACCGGAGCUCGCGUUACUAUAGUCUUGUUUUCGAUGUUAGGCGUUUCAAAUUAACAUCCACACCGUUCAUAUGAUUUUUAGGCGUAUAUGAUUUUUAGAAUAAAUUUUGUAGUUUUUUCGACAUCGUUUACUUAGUAAUAAAUUAUAUCAAACAUAUGACCGGUGAUUGAAUAAUCUUUAAAAUUUGAGCAUAGAACUUUUAAAUUCAAAAUCAAGAAUGUUAACCUUAAUCUAGAUAGCUUAAAAUAUUUUCUAUCAAAAUUUGAAGAAAUUCAGAUUCUUCUAUACCGUUAAACUCCAAACUCGCUAUAGUAGCCCUUGAAAAUUAACAAUUUUGAAAUUAUUUGAUCAUAAAGUAAACUAUGUCGAAAAAAUAUAAAAUUUUAUGUCUAAAAACUUUAAAUACCCUAGAUCAGUUUUAACGGUGUGGAUCGUUGAUUUGAAUACCCUAAAAUCGAAAACGAGACUAUAGUACCAGAGACCCGGUACUAUAGAUAGUGUAGGAGACUAGCUCUUUCUCUCUCUCUCUCUCUCUCUCUCUCUCUCUCUCUCUCUCUCUCUCUCUAUAUAUAUAUAUAUAUAUAUAUAGUAGGUCUUGUGUGCUACCGUGCUCUAAGCCGUUUUUGAUGAUGGAGCUUUUAAAUCGACGAUCGGCUCCGUUAGAUUUGAUUUAGCAUAUUUGAAAUAUGUGGAAAAUAAAUUUUGCGAUUUUUCGAUAUCAUUUACCUAACAAUCAAAAAAGUUCGAAAUCAACAAUUUUUAAUGCUUGAUGUAUGUUGUUUGCAAGUUUAACAGUAUAGAAGUAUUCAAAUCAGAUAAAAUUUUGAUAGAAAAUUUUUAUACUAUUUACUGCAAGAUUAAUAUCUCUUAUCGAAAAUUUUAGUGCUAUAUUAUCAAUUUUUUUUGAGAUUUUUAUUUUCAGCUAUUGAUUUUGAACCCUUUCAAUCACUAGGUAAAUGAUAUCGAAAAUUUGCAAAAUUUAUUUGUCAAAUACUUUAAAUAAAUUAGAUUAAGUUUAACAGAGUCGAUUGCUGAUUCAGAAGUUCCAUCAUCGAAAACGACUUACGAGCAUGGAGGCCUCUGUGCUCCUAAUAGCACACAAGACCCACUCUAUAUAGAGUUUGGCUAAAAUAUUAUUGAUAGUAUUUGCUUUCUUUUGCUAUUAAAAUUAUAGGAUUAUGAUGAUAUUAGUCCCUUAAGGCUUCGUUUGGUUCGGAUAUAAGCAAAAACUAGUUAUACCGGGAAUAGGUACAAGUAUAAAUUUUCGUAGAAACAAGGAUAUUUUUUUGUUUGGAUGAAAAUGUGAGUAUAAGCUGGAACUAGAAAAAUUGCGUUUAGAUGAAAAUGUGAGUAUAAGGUGGAAUAGUUGGUAAUUAUAAAUAGAAAAUAAUAAUAUUACUAAUUUAAAAUUUAAAAACUAAAAAUAUCAUAUUUAAAAUUUAAAAUUUAAAAAUAUCAAAUUUAAAAUUUAGGUGUUAGGAUUGAGUGCUCCCUCUAGGAUUGAGUGGUCUUCACUAAGUUAUAAUAUUUAAUUCAGUGGUUAGAAAUGAUCAAAGAAAUUAAUCCAAAGGUUAAAAACAUGAUAGUAAAAGAGGGUAAAUACUAUUAAUAAUAUUCUAGUCCAACAAGAGGAUAUGAUCGCUCGUAACGUGAAAGAGGUAUGAUUGAAAUGUUUCUCCGUCGAUUCUGCACACAGUUCAUCAGGAUCUCUCCAUACCAAGAGGAAGGAGGUCGGACAGCAGUCUCCUUUGUAUUGCAACGCUUACUAACACUGAUACCAAACAGAUCAACAACUACAAUCUACAUUACCCAAUCAACACCAAGGCAUGAUACUGCAUUUCAUACAGCUUAAUAAUCCUUAGAAGGAUGCAUGCCUCUAAGCAUUCUUAGGCGCUGGAUAGAUGGCAAUGCAGACAAUAACACAAACAUCCUAUUUAAAAGUGCUGCCCACGACGGAAGCUUUUGUUUUUGAAAACUCUAUUCUUCCAUGUCAUAAAAACCAUUCGAUAAACCUUUUUAAAACUGUUUCCCACACGGAAAAUCGUACUUUUGAAAUACCCGACUUACCUCGAGGCCGUAGAAAUAACCCGAUAAUAUAAAUAACAGAGGAAAAUCGAUAUCCAUAAAAUCAAUAUCCAAAAUCCACAAAACCUUAGUUUACAUCAUAAAUAUACGAAAGGCAUGCGCAGAAUGACUACGCAAACUCAGAUCAGCCAAACAAUUCAAAACAAUAUCAUAAGAUCAGCCUUAACAGUGAACCUAUAAACUAUUCUAAGCUAUAUCAACAGGACAGUAAGGGUAAGAAACUAAACCAAGUAACCUGAGUCGGAAGCUUCUAGCGCCACAUACGAACAGUGUCUCACGUCUCCGUCUCUAACUUCUCACACAGCCGGCCGAUACUGAAAAAUAGUGGGGAGGGUAACACAACUUUAAACAUGUCUCCUCCCUCCCAGGUGGGGUACCGCAAGCCGAUGAAGGCGAGAGUACACCGGAUCCAAGGAAGAGCCUAAAAACAGUACGGGUCAAGUAAAUACAGGAGCAAUAAUUAGUGAAAUGAAGCAGAAACAUAACGAAGAGAGUACAACUACGCGCUACUGUAAUGGACUAACUGAAAUUAAUACAUGUAACAAGAGCAUGUAAUGAAAGAACGAAGGUAUACAAGCAAGCUACAACCGCUACUAUAGUUAUAUGCACAACUCGGACUAACGAAGUCAAAUAUACCCAAUCUAGUACGCUGCUAUAUCUUGGUCCGCAGACAACUCAAGCGCAUGCCUGUCACGAACCUGGCACAUCCGACCUGAUUCACGACCUCGCGGAACCGCCACAGGAACACCCAUCCGGAUAAAGUACACCUCCGACGGUGCCAACCGAAAUCCGUGUCCGUGUAAUACCUCCAAGUCUGUGACUGAAGUCAUGAUGGUAAUGCUGCAAUACACGGCUAACCCAGGUGCCUAAGGCCGAAGCCAGAAACAAGGACGUACAUACGCGCGAACCUCGAUCAACCACAGUCGAAACACAGUGACGAGAGAGUCGAAUGCGUUACCUGACCGAUAGGUCCCACAGAGUCCAACCCGACCCAGCAAAGGUCCACGAUACGAAGUACGAGAACUGCCAACCAGGUCAACAGAUACGAAUGCACAACCCAAUCCAACUAGGUCAACAGAUACUUGAAGCACAAGACAGACAAGGCAGGUCAAGCAGAGUACUCCGAAUGCAACAAACAGACCAAACUAGGUCAACAGAUACAGAAUGCAACAACAGACCGUCAUAAGACCACUCAGGUCAACAGAUACACAUGUAGAAUAGAACUACCUAUCCUACUCAGGAUAUCUAAGCAUGCGAAACAACGAGUAGAGUUAAACGCAAAUAAACAAGGGUGCAAGCUCAAAUACUAUGGGCGAUAGUACAACAGAAGAGUAAGGGUAAGAAAACCGUCACCUAAUGCGUGCACCACUGUACUCGACGUCGGAUCGAAUACCCAACUCUGUACGGAUGUUCGCGUCUAUCCUGACCUGCAGGAAGAGAAUUGUCGACAAGACCUAUAGAGGGUCCCCGGGUUAAGUAUCGUAACUCCACAAACUAAUAAUCACAGUACCACACCUCACAACGAUUCCACAAAAGAUCGUUCCCAAUACCGAUUACCUAAUCGCCGAGAGUCGAAAACCACACCGGAGCGCCCCGGCGGACGCACUAAAGUGUCCCGAACAUCAACCGACUCACACCAACAGUCACCGCCCGCUGCCCCCAAAACAUUCAAUUUGGGAUGCCUUUGGCAGCGAACACAAAGUCAACACAACGAUAUGAUCAUCGCCGGAAUAAUCGUAUACAUCGGGUUCCCGGAGUUGUCUAUUCGACACCGGAACCUCACGUCGCUUCACUCUAUGCCUCAUCGAACCAUACAAAAUUGACGAUGGUAGCCAGGCCGCAACAAGGCUCAGCGACAAAACACGAGCAACCAAACACCGUCGGAAAGGACCGAACACGGCGAAACCCGCGUUCUUUCGGUCGAUUUCGCCGAAAAACGCACACCAAAAAUCGACUCCUUCGAUUUUCCGCGAAAACUACAGGAUCAUGACAAUCAUCCAGAGGUCAAAACUCACACCACUUGCCCCACAUGAGCCACACAUGAUGCACAAUUGCAUAAAGCCAAAAAACGCUCAACUUAUCAUAAAAUAACCAUAUUUUAUGUAAAUGAGCGAUAAGCGCGGCUCGAUCGACAGCAAACCAGGACUUUCGAAGUCCGCAAGAGACAGCGUACUGACAGUCCUCGACGUAACCGGAGUCCGUGCUCACGUCGGAUUGUACACGCUCACUGUGGGAAGUCGCGGGAGCAACGACCGAAGAGUUCAGCGAAUAGCGGCGCAGUCAGGGUGAAAUCGCGCCCGUAACAGAAUAACUCGGACCUUCUGAUACCAAAGUGACGGUGAGCAACUGUGAUCGGCUCUGACCACAACGAUCACGUGCUCACCUCCGAGGCAGUCAGAAGCCUCCGGAUCGCCGGAUAAACAACACAUCGGAACCCGAAAACACGGUGCAGCCAAAAAGGCUGAAACGGGGCGAACAUCGCCGAAACAGCGAACGGGCCUUCCCGACAAAAACUAAAGGUGAGCAGAGUGAUCAGAUAACCUUCCAAGGAAUCAUCGUGCUCCCGUUCGCGCAGAGACGGGAGGCUCGGGAAGCUCAAGAAGCACAAACCCACAUCAUUAAGCCCUAUUUCGGCUUGGCCGGAGCAAGCUUUGCUCCGCCGGGCCUCUCGGCGGCAACGACGGCGCGCGGCAGGCCCAUAGUCGGGUUGAGGGGGAGGUUGAGGACACACGUGGCUCACCUUCAGACGGCGUGCGAGGAGCGGCGGCGGCGCGCGGAGCAAAGCCGACCCGUACCAACUAGAGCUCGGGUUCCGAGGAAUCUCGAGCCCACGGGGCGGCCGGGAGCUCCGGGAGGCGGAGGCGGCUGCAGGAAGCUCGGCGGAAGUCUUAAACACGGGUGCCCAAGGUGGCGGCGCGCGACUGGGAGGAGCCGGCAGCACGGCUUCGGCUCCGGUCGCUCGGAUUGGAGGGCUGCAGGCGGCUCGCGCAGGCAGCACCGCAGGCGCUCGGGCCGGCUCGGAGCAGAGGUGGCCGCGACUGCCUGAGUCGGGGAGAUGCCCACAGGGUGCGGCCAAGGGCCGGCGGCGACCGCGGGGAGAAAGGCGCAGGGCUGCCGGACCGAGCGUGGGUCUGGGGCGGCCAUACGGCUGGCCGUAGGCGGCAACUGGCGCCGCGUCGGGCGGCGGCGACGGCGAGGAGGGUGUCCCGGGCACUGGGGCGUGUCCCGGGAGAGGUCUCCAUGCGCGGCAGGCGCGCCUGGCGCUGAGCAACCACGCUCGGCCUAGGCUCGCCAGCGGGGGCUGCUCGGCAGGCGGCUGGAGCGCUUGCGGCGGCGCAUGGCGAACGGCGGCGGUCGGUGGGGGAAGAACGCACGGAGCACGGGGUGAACCCCGGGGGAGGGUCCGAAGUGGCGUACGGCACGGGCAUUCCCUCACAAACCCGAGAAGAGAGAGAUAAACAAUAAGACAAGGAAAAACAGAGAGAGAACGAAAGGAGAAGUGGGAAGGAAGUGCUGCGCGGCGGCCGGGGCUCAGCCGCGGCGGCGCCGGGGGUGGUGGCGGCGAGGGUAGGGGAUAGGAGAAGGUGGCUGGCGACUAGGGUUAGGUUAGGGGAAACCAUAAACCGUGUUCUGCUAGAACUAAUAAAACCAAGGUGUAACUUCGCAAAAAGGUCCACACAAAACACUCGGAAUCAAUCCGAGCGCCUUCACCGAACAGACUAAAACGCGAGAACGACCCUCCACGUGCGAUCCUCGCGGAAAGACGGUAAAGCAUAAUAAUACGCGACUUUCGCUGAAAUAGACCGUUUUGCCAGCUACCGACCUCUCCUGCGAUAACGCGCCGAUCUCCGCAGAUCCGCCGUGCAAUCGAAACGGAUUGGCACCAGUGCGAAUCAGCACCUUCGGAGACAACAAAAGCUAUCCAAUUGUCGUUUCGUGCUUGAUCGACCACGGAUUUCACGACAAAUCCAACCUUCGUUCGAAUAGAAAUGAAACACAACAANNNNNNNNNNNNNNNNNNNNNNNNNUGCCUAAUAUAGUAUAUAUAUAGGUGUUAGAGCUACUAAUGCUAACGGAAGUAUAGAGGAUAGUUAUGGGCUCUCAACUUAUAAUUUGACCAUUUGAUAAUAAAAUUAUAAACGGUUGAUGAAUUUGCGCCCCGCCAGGUUUGAGUAGUAACUCCUAGGGUUGUGGAGAGUCCCACCGAUUAAAAUAAGUAUUAAUCUAAAGGUUAAAAGCGAUUAAAGAGGUUGAUCUAAGGCGCAAAAAAUCGGAAAACCAGAUCCUCAUAUGCUUCCGAUAGUAAUAGUAGGCUUACUAUAUAUAUAUAUUAUAUAUAUAUAUAAUAUAAUAUAUAUAAUAUAGAGAAGGAGAGAUAGAUGAGAGGAGAGAGAAGAGAGAGAGAGUCCGAUACUUAACUCUUUAUGAUUAUGAUACGCCUUCAUACUCAUAAGUCGUAUUUUAAUGAUAGAUGCUUCUAAAUCGAACGACCAUACCGUAAACAUUAUCUAGAGUAUUGUAAAAACUUUUAGAAAAUAAUUUUUAUAAUUUUUGACAAUCAUUAUACACUUAAGAGAUUUCAGAAAUUAACAUUUUAACGGCCAGAUAUGAAAUUUUGCUAGUUUAACAGUUUGUAUAAAGAAUCAAAAUCGGUUCAAAUUUUUUAUAGAAAAUUCUAUUCACUAUCUAGAUAGAGAUCAAAAUUAACUUCCGAUCUUAAAUUGAAAGGAUCGAUCAUCGCUAUUUUAUUAGGACGUUGUUUGAUUUUGACGAUUCAUUUUAAUGCCCCCUUGAUGAACUUUAUACUUAAUCGAAAAUUAUAAAUUUAUGUUAAAAAAGUUUCGAAAUACUCUAAAUCAUAUUGAAUUCGAGUGGAAUCGUCGAUUCGGAAGCUCAUCAUUGAAAACUAAUUUAUGAUAAGGAGGGCUCUGUACUAUAAUAGUAAUAAGUACCCUUCUCCUCUCUUCUCUCUCUCUCAUCAUCGUGGAAAUUGAAGCCGAUGACCGUGAAAUCUCUCUCUUUCUUUCUCUCAAUAAGAAUCCGCUCCGAUCUUCACAUCUCUCUCUCUAUAUAUAUAUUAUAGAGUGAUGCUAGUAUGGCUUCUGAAAGUAUCGUAACCUUACUGCUUGCCAAGUCGUUUGGGAUUUCAAUGAUGAUGUCGGCUUCUGUAAAACUUGAUCUAAAGUAUUGAAGUGUCUAGUAAAAUAAUUUGGUGCUUUUCAAUAUUAUUUACAGUAUGAUCGAAGAAGCUCAAAAUCAAAUAAAUUUUAAUGUCCGUGGUGAGCCGUUGCGAAGUUGAACGGUGUAAAAAUAUCCCAAAUACGGAAAUUUUUUGAUAGAAUUUUUAUACUAUUAUAAAACAAGUCAAUAUUUUAUGAUUUAAGAAUUUUAAAUUCAUAAUCAAUCAUAUUUGUAAGAAUUUUAUUUUCAGGCCGUUGUAUUUUGAAUGCACCACUUCGAUCUACUAGCCAAAGAUAACAAAAAUUGCAAAAUUUAUUUUCUAGAUACUUAAAAUAACUGCUAGAAUCAGUCUAACGGAGCUGAUGCAUCGAUUCAAAAUCCUAACAUCGAAAACGACUUGGAAACAACGAAGCGCUCAGCAUGCUUCUAGAAGCUAUACCAAGCCGGCACUAUAUAUAAUUAUAUAUAUAUAUAUAUAUAUAUAUAUAUAGGAGAGAGAGAGAGAAGAAGACUGGAGAGAGAGAGAGAGAUUUGGCUAGAAAUACUAAUCGAUAGCAUGCUCCGUUCCACCCAUUUAUUUCGAUGAUGGAGCCUCCAAAUCGAUGAUGGAUACCUGUCAACGCCCCGGGCCGAUUUUAAAAGCCCUUUUUAAAAAUUAGAGUUGCGGAAAACGAUGCCUUUUUUUUUUUUUUUUUUCAACCUGCCGCACGCGACGUACAGACGCCGCCACAAUACAAAGUCCUCUGUCGCACUCGGACAGCAGUCUCCUUUGUAUUGCAGCGGCUUACAACUGAUACACAACAGAUCAACAACUACAACUACCAUUAACGCAAUCAAACACCAAGGCAUGAUACUUCAUUUCAUACAGCUUAACAAUCCUUAGAAUGAUGCAUGCCUACUAAGCACUUCUAUAGGCGCUGGAUGAUGCAAUGCAGCAAUAAUACCAAAAACAUCCUAUUUAAAAGUGCUCGCCCACGACGAAGCUUUUGUUUUUAAAUACUCUAUUCUUCCAUGUCAUAAAAAGCCAUGUCGUAAACCUUUUUAAAACUGUUUCGCCACACGAAAAGUCUAUUUUGAAAUACCCGACUUACCCUCGAGGCGUAGGAAACAACACGAUAAUAUAAAUAACAGAGGAAAUCACGAUAUCCAUAAAAUCAAUAUCCAAAUCCACAAAACCUUAGUUUACAUCAUAAAUAAAACGAAAGCAUCGCGCCAGAAUCGUACGCAAAGCUCGAUCACCAACAUUCAAACAAUUCAUAAGAUCAUUAACGUGAACCUAUAAACUAUUCUAAGCUAUAUCAAACAGGACAGUAAGGGUAAGAAAACUAAACCGAAUUAACCUGAGUCGGAAAGCUCUAGCCUGCAACUCACAACAGUGUCUCACGUCUCCGUCUCUACACUCUCACACAGCCGGGCGAUCACUGAAAAAUAGUGGGGAGGGUGAACAAACUAUGUAAACAUGUCUGCCUCCCUCCCAGUGGGUACCGCAAGCCGAUGAAGGGCGUAGGAGUACACCGGGAUCAAGGGAAGAGCCUAAACAACAGUACGGUCAUAGAAAUACAGGAGCAAUAAUUAGGAAAUGAAGCAGAAGACAUAGUAACGAAGAAGUACAACUACGCGCUACUGUAAGUGACUAACUGAAAUGUAAUACAUGUAACAAGAGCAUGUAAUGAAAGAACGAAGGUAUACAAGCAAUUACAAACCGCUAUAAUAGUUAUAUGCACAACUCGGACAAAGAAGUCAAAUAUACCCAAUCUAAGUACCAUGUAGUAUUUUGGUCCGCAGACGCUCAAAGCGCUGCCUGUCACGAUACCUGGCACUCGACCUGAUUCACAAACCCCCACAGACGAAAUACAUAUAAAACAUGUAUUUUUGGAUUUUCUCGAAAUCCGUGCGUCAAAACCAAAAUCCGUCAGCGCCAUUAGUUCCAGAAUAGCUGAACCGGUCGAAACGAGCUAUUGGACUGCUAUGAACAGAGUCCGGUACGAGCCAGAAGCCAACUUCUCACCGCGGCUUCUCCGGAAAAACGAGUUACUAUUCACUUUAAGUGAAAACUAAUAAUCGCGUAACUUCUCCGUUUUAGCUCAGUUUCUCCUGAAACUUGACGAGUGCUUAUGUAAUUAAAUUACAUACAUAAACAUCAUCAACAGAGAGUUUAGCUACACUGCAAAAAUCUCAGUCCUUACAAUACCGUUGAAUAUGAUCUAUAUCACUUGAAGUGUUUAGAAAUCAAAUUUCAUAUAUUUUCGAUAUUGUUCUCUUAUCCAUCGAGUGGAUACAAAAAUGAACGGCUAAAAAUGAAUAUUCUUUAAAAAAUGAUGAUAAGAGUCUUGUAAUUAAGAUCAAGAGUAUAGAUCUUAUUUUAAAUAGUUUAAAAAAUUUUCUAACAAAAAAUUAAAUGAUUUCGGUAUUUUUACGCCGUUAGACAAGAAAACGUCUCAUAUCGACCAUUAAAAUUACAAAUUUUGAAAUCUUUGAUCAUUAGGCAAAUGAUGUCGAAAAGAUUUGAAAUUUGAUUUAUAAACUUGUAAGGACUGAGAUUUUGGCAGUGUAGCUAAACUCUCUGUUGAUGAUAUUUUUGUGUGUAUUUUAAUUACAAAAGUACUCAUCAAGUUUCGAAAGAAAAUGAGUUAGAAUAGAGAUUUUACGCGAUCUUCAGUUUUCACUUAAAAUGAAUAGUAACCCGGAUUUUCAAAAAGGCCAAUGAGGAGAGAUGGCUUCUAGCGCGUAUCGGACUCCGUUCAUAGCGAUCCAAUAGCUCGUUUUUGCUAGUUCGACUAUUCUGGAACCAUUGGCACUGUUGGAUUUCAAGUUUGACGAACAGAUUUCGAGAAAACUGAUGAUACAUAUAUUAUAUGUAUUUGUGUGUCGUUUUGCCAUUUGGAGAGAGGACGGGUUUCGUCGCAAAUCUGCAAUCAAACCAGGCAAAACAAAAUUGUGGUUUUGUUGUCUCUGUCGUGCGGAUUGCAUUGGUGUGAUCCGUUCGCAAAUCUGACGGACGGAUUUCCUGAUAUCGCACGUUGAUCGAGGAGGGGUUUUAGAUGGCAAAAUGAUAAUUUUGCGUAAAGCUUGACAUUUUAUGUACCGUUUUGCAUGAAAUCGAAUGUGGGGGUGUAUUCACGUGUUUUACUCGCGCUGUGAGGGAUUAAGUGUUAAAUACCGAGUUUCGGUGGACUAACUUGCAAUUUUACACCUUAUAUAUAUAGCUCACCUAGGGUUUGCCCCAUGCAAACCCUAACCCUAGCCCUAGCUGCGCCCCCAGCCACCUCCAUCUCCCUCCCCUGCCCUCACUGCGUGCACCCCGGCCGCCAGCGCGCGCCUCCGGCCACUAGAACAAGCUGCAUUGCCUCUGUAACGACCCAGCCCACUAACAAUAAUAACUCGUUGGGCCCAACCACCGGCCCAAAAUACUUAAGCCCAUUUAUUAUUACUAGUGUCUAAGUCUCUUAUAUACUCAAUCAUAUUCUUAUUCCUAUCCGAUGUGGAAUUAUUGGGGUGUGACAGACUCCCCCCGUUAAGAUCCUGACAUCCUCGUCAGUCCAAUCACACACACAACCCAAAAUCACCAGGUAAUGUGAGACUUGUCUCACUAGCCUUGUCAUCCAGACCUUGGCAUAGCCGGUCACCUUGUCACCUUGUCAUUAUCAAGGCUGAUGUUUUGACUUUUUGUUGGUUCUUUGUCAGUAUGGUGUGUGUCGAAUCUGGCUAAUGUACAGACGUGAUGUCAGAUCUCUGUUCGUGCAUUCUAGUGCAUUAUAGGAUUAUUGGUCGGCUUAGUUUUGUGUCGCGUCUCCAACUUUCUGUUGGCGAUGGAUCUGUGGGUAUUUUACAUUUCUUUCGAUAAGUACGUUGGCUGCAGACAACGUAGUGUUGAAAGUUAGGACAAGAUAUCCUACUCCUUUUGGGGAAUAUCUGGAUUGGGUUAGUAUUUUUCUCUUGCAAGAGAGGUGAUGAUCACCUUUGAUCAUCUAGUGAGCCUGGAGGUUGGCUCAGAAGUCCCAGCUUGUGAUAUUAUACAAGGUAUACGUUUUAGUUUAUCGUGGAUACCUGGGAUUGGAUUGGAUUGCUGUUCGGUCACUUGGUGAGAGGCAUGUUGGAGUCUCAAUGAGACUGGCAUUUAAUGUUACUAGGAACAUCGAUCGCUAGGGUCUUUUGGGGGUGACAGCGACAGGAUCUCGUAGAGACAGAUGUUGGGCAUCACUGGUGGUUAUGAUCACAUGUUGCGAGUGGCAACUCUGUUCACCUAGUGACGGAAAUGCAUUAGUCUUAUGUUGAUUUGUUUGUACCCGAAUGAGUGUUGAGCAGGCUAAAUUAUCGGGCUCAACUAAUAGUGGCAGCCUUAGACCUUUUGGUCUAGGCAGAAGGUUAGGUCUUGGACCUAAGUGAGUCGGAUUUCAUCGGUGGGUUCCGAUGGUUAAGGUUUGGCUUUGUCUGGUUAUAGUUCGGACUGGUGGGAGAUUGUAGCCACCGAGGUGAGUGUUGGUACUCUAGUUUAGGAGCUUUUUUGCCAUGCCACAACAGCAGUGCUUGGUGCAUUAGUGGUGUGUUAUCCGAAAUUAUUUUCGGUGGUGUGUAAGCAAGUUUCGGGGACGAAACUUUCCUUAAGGGGGGGAUGAUGUAAGGACUGAGAUUUUGGCAGUGUAGCUAAACUCUCUAUUGACGAUAUUUUUGUGCGUAUUUUAAUUACAAAAGUACUCGUCAAGUUUCGAAAGAAAACAAGUUAGAAUGGAGAUUUUACACGAUCUUCAGUUUUCACUUAAAGUGAAUAGUAAUCGGGAUUAUCGGAAAGGUGAAUGAGGAGAGAUGGCUUCUAGCGCGUAUCGCACUUCGUUCAUAGCGAUCCAAUAGCUCGUUUUCAUUGGUUCGACUAUUCUGGAACCAUUAGCACUGAUGGAUUUCAAGCUUGAUGCACGGAUUUUGAGAAAAUUGAUGAUACAUAUAUUAUAUGUAUUUAUGCGUCAUUUUGCCAUUUGGAGAGAGGAUGGGUUUCGUCAUGAAUCUACGACCAAACCAGGCAAAACUAAAUUGUGGUUUUGUUGUCUCUGUCGUACGGAUCAGACUGGUGUAAUCCGUUCGCAAAUCUGACGGACGGAUCUCCUGAUAUCGCGCAUUGAUCAAGGAGGGGUCUUAGAUGGUAAAAUGGUAAUUUUGCGAAAAGCUCGACAUUUUAUGUACUAUUUUGUGUGAAAUCGAAUGUGGGGGUGUAUUCGCACGUUUUACUCGCACUGUAAGGGAUUUAGUGUUAAAUACCAGGUUUCGGUGGACUAACUUGCAACUUUACACCUUAUAUAUAUAGCCCACCUAGAGUUUGCCACAUGCAAACCCUAACCCUAGCCUUAGUUGCGCCCCCAGCAAUCUCCAUCUCCCUCCAUUGCCCUCACUGCGCGCACCCUGACCGUCGGCGUGCACCUCCGGCCACUGGAACAAGCUGCAUUGCCUCCUUCUCCUUUAUCACCUCCACCACCUUUGCCCGUGGACCACCCUGGGUGAUCCUUACCUAGGGCACCCCCCUCUGGCAGUGUCCCUACCUCCGGCGACUCCUCCAACUUGUCCCUGCCGGCCACCGCCGCUCCCGCGCGCCGCCACUGCAAGCCCAAGGAGCCUGCAGUUUCCUGGAGCUGCUAGGCCGAGGAAGCCUUAGCUUCCUAGCCCCCGCACCACAGCCGUCAGGAGCCACUCCCGCGGCACCUCUCCGGCCUCAGGUGUUCCCCGCUGUCGCCCCUGAGAGCCCCACCGGCCACUGUGGCCUCGCCGCUCCUGGACCCGAGCCCUAGCCCGUAUGGGCUCAAGUUGCUCCGCCGCGGCGGCCGUAGGCAGGCGGGAGCCUCGGCCUCCCCACGUCGACCACACCUGUCGGCCGCCGGCCGUGCCCUAGCCCCCUCUGCCCGGUAAGCCUUAAUUAAUGUUGUUUGUGCGUAGUUCUGGUUUGUGCUUAUUUUUUCAGCGAUCCGAGGCUGUUCCGAUGCCUCCGGAGGUGAGCACGAUGAUCGCUGGUCAGUGCUGAUCAAAGUGCUCACCUCACUUUGGAUCAGCGGACACCGAAACUGCAUUUCCAGCACAGUUUUCCUUGAGUGCGCACUAUUCGCUAAAAGUUCGGGUCGUUCCCGCGCCUCCCACAAUGAACUGUUGUGCUCCGAAUCAUGAGCACGACCUUCGGUACAUCGAGACCUGUCAAUACGUGUCUCAGCGGACCUCGAAAGUCUUCGGUUUGCGUUAACAAGCCACAAAAUCACCUGAUUUACAUAAAAUGAUAGGAUUUUAUGUAAAUGUAGGGACUUUUAUGCAAUUGUGCAUCUUGUGGCUACUGUGGGCAGUAUGUAAGUGUAUGUGGUGACCUCUGGACUGAUUGUCAAUGUCUGAUAGCCUUUGUGGAAAUCGAAAGUCGAUUUCGAUGCAUUUUUCGGCGAAAUUCGUCGGCGGAACGUGGUUUCGGUUCGGAUUUCAUCCGAAGGUGUGUGUUUGCCCUGUGUUGUACAUGUCGCUGAGCCUUGUCGGCUAGUCACCAUCAUCAUAUCGUGAGUUCCGAGAUGAUGGGUGAGCGACGGUGGGUUCCGGUGUUGAAAUUGACACUUCCGGGAAUCCGGAUCCGAACAAUUAUCCGACGAUAAUUGUUUGUUUGUGUUACCUUGUGUUUGCUGCCAAGACAUCCAAAUCGAUGUGUUUUGUGGCAGCGAGUGACUCGUGGCACGAGUCGGUGAGUUUCGGGACACUUAGUGGGUCCCGACGGCGUUCCGGUGCGAUUUUCAGGACUUCCAACAAGUUACGGUGAUCGGUUUAAGGAAACCGAUUUUGGGGAUUUGUGUGGGGUUUGUGAGUUGAGUAUUUUGGAUUGGUGGGUUGGUUACUAACCCGGUGAAUCUUCGUAGGUCCGGUUGACUUGUUGCGCACCUAGGUUUCCGACGCGAUAGUGACAAGUGGGUGCUUCGAGCUGGUAGUCGGUGAGAUCGUUUCGCUUUUUUCUGUUCUUCUAUAUCAGUAUCGUAGUCUCUACAUAUCAGUUACCUUUGUAAAUCGUUCGUUCAUCUAUAUCUUGUUGCUUGCAUGAUGAUAGUUAUUGAUAGACAUGUAGAGCAGGCUUACAUAUGUUGUAUAUCUGUGGACCUUGGGUCCAGACAACACAUCGACUCCUUUGUCGUGUGUUCGAUCUAGUUGAUCGUGGUUCGGCGUUGUACGCCUUUUCAUCUGGCUUCGGCCAAGGCACCUGUCUUCUUGCCGGUUUUCGUAUUGAGCAUAUCAGCCGGUUGCAUAUUGAGCAUAUCAGUAUGAUUUAGUCACAGCACUAUGUAUUCUAGACACCGUUUGGUUUGGCCACCAACCAAGGGGUGUGCGUAUCCGAAUAGGUCGUCGGUAAACGCAUGAAUCAUAGUCAGUGUAUGCUCUAUGACAGGCAACGCUUGAGAUCUGCGAACCAAUAUGGCAGCACCAGAUUAGGUUUGAUUUGGAUUAUCCACCCUUGAGGCAUAUGUUCAGUUGUGAUUCGGUUACAGCAGUAGUUUGAUUCUUGCUCAUUUAUUAUUAUGUUUCUAUUACUACUGUAAUUGCUCGUAUAUCAUACCAUAUACAUAUCUGUUGUUCUAUCUCCUUUGUUUUCCAGUGAAUACGACUUGCAUUUGUGGCUCUGUCGUACCCACUGGGAAACGUUGAUUGUAGUUUCUCACCCCCCAUUUCCCCAGGUGACUUGGGCGAGGAAUUGAUUCUUGGUGCGACGGUUGGACAUCCUAGCUAGGCUGCAGUAGCGGUGGUCACCCUGAUUAUGUUUCAUUUCUGCAUUAGUAAUUUAACUAAUUAAAUGGUUUAGUUAGAUGAUCAAUACUACUGUUUGAGUAUUUGUGAACUGUUGAGUUGGUGAUUUCCUUUUAUGCAUGCAAACAGAAUUGGUCGAUUAAUUGGAGAUUUAUGGAUCUUUGGCAUUGGAUUUAUGCAUCGUGUUUUUUCUACCCCUCGAGGUAGUUGGUUUUCAAAAUGGAGUUUUCGAGUGGGAAACAGUUUCAAAAGGAUUUCGAAUGGCUUUCAUGAAUGGUCAAAUAGAGUUUAAAAACAAAGUUUCUAGAUGGGGAGCACUUUUAAAUAGGAUGAUUGUUGUAUUGUGCAUUGCAUCAUCUAACGCCUAAGGAGUGUUUGGAGGCAUGCAUCAUCUCUGAGUAUCACUAAUUGUAUGGAAAUGCAUUGCAUGAAUUGCUUGUAAAUUGGUAAAUGUAAGUUGUUGUUGUGAUCCUGAUGUUGUUGGUACGCCGUGCAAAUACAAAGAAGACUCUAUCCGUGUGACCAGAGGAAUUUUAUAUUUGUGGCGGGUCUGUACGUCACGUGGGCCAGGUUGAAAAAAAAAAUGGCGCGUUUUCGGCAACUCUGAUUUCUAAAAUAGUAUUCUUUAUAAAAAGACUCUUAAAAUCGGCUCCGGGGCGUAACAAAACACUUCAAGUAGUAUAGAUCAUAUUCAACGAUACCGAUCAUCGAUUUGAAUACUCUAUCAUCAAAAAUAAAUGGGUAGCAAUGGAGUCUGUUUGCUAUCGAUAGUAUUCUAGCUCAACUAUAUAUAUAUAGUUCAGCUAGAAUACUCUCAAAAGCAUCAAGAGGUUGGUGAUUUUAAGUUUUUAACCCUUGGACGGAGAAAUGUAAGGUUGGGAUGAUAGUGGUAGGUGGUGGUAGAAGGAAUAGUGUUUGAUCCAAGGAUUAUUAGUAAUCAAGGAGUAGAUCCAAGGGUUAGAAACCUAUAAGCACCAAGGGGGUAAUACUUCUAAAAGUAUUCUAGCUAAAUUCUAUAUUUAUAUAUAAUGUAAGAUGAUAAAUAUUUUAGCUUUUUGAUCGAUACAUAUUAUUUCUUUUUGACAAUAUAAAUAAAUUAUAUAUGGCAGAGAUUUUUUUUUCUUAAAAUUUAUGAACUAUCAAUAAAAAUUUUACUAGCCUUCAUUCGUACGAGAAAUAUAAUAAUAUUUUAACAAAAUUAAUAUUUUAUACAUAAAAAAAUAUAUUAUUAUAUUAAUAAUAUUAUAUUUUAUUAAUAGUAUUCAUGUCGUGUCCGUGUCCUUAUUUUUUUAAAGAUGCCGAGUCGCGGUGCCCAAGUUGUGCCGUGUCUCGUAUCAGUGUCUGUGACGCCUAAUUACAUAUUAUUUUUAUAUAUACUAAUAUAAAUACUUUAGGAUUUAUAAAUUAUAUAUAUAUAAUUAAUUUUUAAAAUACAUUAUAUAAAAUAUUAAGAACUGUAUAUAAAAUUUAUGGAUCUACAGGGUGCAGGCAAUAAUUGAGAGGGAAAGAGGGGCCGAACAUUUCGUGGUUUUUAGUCUGCGUCGUCGUCAUCUUCAAGGCUUGGUCAGAGAUUUUAUUAUUAUUUUUUUCCCUUUUCAAAUUUUAUUAUUGGACUAUUUUGUAAUUUUGAAUAUUUAUUGGUAGGGGUAAUAGCAAAGCUAUGAGCCAAGAGAAUCACGGGAAGGACAAUUCUACAUAUGUCGAGGAAAAGUUUAAACAUCAAUUUGCAAAAAAAAAAAUCUCUCCUUUCGGUAAAAGAAGAUUCUUUCUUAGCCAUGAAAUUCUCAUUGUUAUUUUAGUCAUUGUUACUUUAGAUCAUCAAAACAAAAUUUGUUACUAUUACGUUUAUUUUAUAUUUUUUUAAUCAUAUUGCUGUUAAAAAUUUUAAUUAAUUCUUUUAAAAAGUGUUAAUAUGACAUCUAGUUCAAUUCAGCUAUCCUGUCAUCUUAGAAAGAUGACGUGAUUAUUGAAUUAGUUCUUAUUUUAUCAUUUUAUUUGGAAAAUUAUAUAAAAGUUAACAAAAUAAUUCGAUUGAAAUAAAAAUUAAUAUUUAGUAUCUCAGUUGAGACAAGUUGACCUUCAAUAACCUAAAAAAAAGAAUUUACCCGAUGCAAUUCACUAUAUAUGAAUAAGAAAAAAGCUCUACAUGUACUAUACACCUUAUAUAUAGGUGUAUAUUUUGUACAUCUCUCAUCCAAGCAUUGCAUUCAUGCAUUUACGAAGCUCCUUUGAAUUUUUAGAAGUUGAUAAUAUUAGUAGGAGAAUUAUAGCCCUUCGAUGAGUGAGUUGUAUAUAUUACACUUUGUCUACUGGUGUAAAGUAGCAUUUGAGAAAUAAAUAAAACAAUUGUUCUACUUUAAAUGCUUAAACUGUUAAAUAACGAUAUUUAAAUAUUUUUAUGUUUAACACUUCCUUUCACGUCUGAAUUCGACUCAAACUCAAGAACUUUUAUUCUGAUAUCAUGAUAAUAAAUAAAACAACCGCUGUACGUACUCUAAAAACUUAUGCUAUAUAGAGAAUGGUAUUUAAAUAUUUUUAUAUUUAACAUCAUUGUUCCAUGAAUAAACUCAUAUAUAUCAUUAUUUCAGCAGUACAACAAUAUAUUUUCUGCUUUAUAUAUAAAUAAAUCUUGACAUUAUAGUUGAACAAAAUGCAAUAGUAAACCUGAAGAAUAGUACGAUAAAAUUUAUUUGUCAAAAAAUAAGAAGCAAAAAUUUUAGGAAAACACUUUAAUGUUUUUAAGCAAAAUGGCCUACGCAAAACUUUAUAAGGACCAAUAAUGGAAAUUGGAACAAACCUUUUUUAAUGUCAAUGUUUCAUGUACCUCUGACUCAAGCGUCACUAAUUUGUAGUUAGCCUCUCAACUUUGUCUUCUAAAACAUUUACACCACAGUUAAACGAAAUGGAUAAUAUGCUACUUUUCUUUUUAAAAAAUAAAUAAUUUUCUAAAUAAACAAUCAUCGCGUGUAUAUAAUAAAUCUCUGAUGGUCCCUCCAAGAACUCUUAACUCUGUCCAUGUUUGUAGUUGCAUCUAUAUUACAAAAAUUUUGGUUAGAUUUGAAGUAGAAUCUUAGUUAGAUUAGAAUAAAUAUUUAAAUCUGUUGAGGGUAAAUCGAGUAAGAUUUAAAUAUUAAUUACAUUGAAAAUUUUACUAGACUAAUACUUUUGUUGUGCAUUAAUGCACGGCCAAGUAGCUCUCGUAUGGCUGAGUCUCUUUCGCGGUGUCCGUGCGUACUCACGAAAGAGAUUAGGCUUAGUUUAGUAUAUUAAUUAAAUUUCCUAAAUUUCAUCAAAUUAUUGGAUAGCCCCAUAUGCUACAUGUAUUUUUAGUUAUACUGUAUUUUCAAUUGUAUGAAACCAAACACUGAUGUAAGCGGAUUAGUGCUUAAUUAAUUUAGUAUAAUAAUAGAGUCAGAGAGACAUGGAUUCCUACAAUGAGGGUCAAUGCACGCGAAGAUGGUUUUACUUGACUCCCGUAGGAAAAGUUGAAAAGCUUAUAUAAGUUAAUUAUGAAUGAUAUAUAAGACAAAGAUGACCCAUAUAGAUAGAUAGAAGAUCCUUUGAAGUUUGACCACAUGCUUUUGAAACCUUUGAUUUUUUGUUGAAAGCGAAAUGUAAAUGUUUGAACAAACAUUCCCCUUAUACGGACCAGUAUUCGGGACGCCGUGUAGGACUAAAGAGAGAGAGAAGCUUAAAAUGUACGCAAAUAAAUCACCUCAACUUUUGAGUCAUUAAUUUUAAAAAGGAACUUUUUCCUAUGAGUUAAUUUUAUACAGCUCCUUAUAAACACACCGAAUAACAAAUAUAUUUAUAUAACCGACCGUCCCUAAAAUAAGUGGCAAAGAAUUUGGUGGUUGGUAUCCGAGACCCAAGUUCGAAUCCUAGUUAAUUCACAUUUCUAGAUAAGUUUAUUUCUAAAUGAAAUAAAUGAAGCGGGUAUCGUGCUAUCUAUCUCUCUCAAAAAAAAAUAAAUAAAUAAAUAAAUAAAUAAAUAUAUUUAUAUAAAGUUCCACUUUUUCAUAUUCAUUCCUAUAAAAGUUUAAUAAUGUUCAUAUUUGCUCUCCUACUUUGUUACCGUUAGAAUACUAUUUAAUUUUUAACAAAAGAUAUAUGAAAUGAUAUUUUUACCAUCAUAAUUAAAUAUAUCCUUUCAAAAAUUCCAACUGUUAGGAUUAUGUAAAAAUAUUCUUUCAAAAAUCUCCAACGAUCAUUUUCUUCUUUUCUACCAUUACAAAAAAUAUAAAAGGGGUAAAAAGAUCAAUUUACCUUAUUCACUAACCACGGUUAAAUAUUUUACUUAUGCUUAACUAUAUUUCUCUAACAGAUCCUGACAACAGGGAUAUAUUUGAAAACGUCAGGACUUUUGUAGGGAUAAAUAUGAAAAGUUGUACUUUAUAGGGAUAUAUUUGGCAUUCGAUGUAGUAUUCCUGAGGUUUGGAUAGGAUUGGCUGCAGUAUUAGUGACUAGUCGACACAUCUGGAGAGUGUCGGACUGAGUUGGAGUCAUUUCUGCACGAAAUGGAUGCAGAAAUAGAAUCGGCGCACUCAAACAAGCAAAACUAGAGUUUUGCCAGAUUCGGGCGCCAAGAACUGGAUUUGGGUCCCCCAGAUAUUGAGCGUAGAACAGAACAGAACUGGAAGCCAAUUUGGAUCCAGAUUCCGGGCGCCCAGAUGUGGGUCCGAAAGUCAGCCUUGGAAAUAUCAUUUGAGUUGACACGUGGCUGGUGGUAGCUGUGGUCCGCCGGAGCAGGUUUAGGGCGCAGCACACUGCGGGCGUUGGAACCGAAGAGGAAGACUUAUGCAGCCUGGAGGAUUCGGACGCCCAGAAUGUUGUUUCGGGCGCCCGAAAGUGCCCGUUUCUGCAAAAUUAUAGAUUUGCAGCUGUUGCUCCCGAGGCUUAUUGGGCCAUUCUAACACCCUAUAAAUUGGUGGUGUUCGACCACCUUGGGCUCUUUUCACCUGUUUUUCACAGAGAAGCCUCAAAUUGCAUCAUAGUCCCUCAAAUUGUUCCAAUUUCCACAAAUUCAGCUUGAGGAGUGCUGAUUCUGCAGUUUUCUAGCAGCGACCGUCGGCGUUUCGGCUCGUGUGCGACAUAGGGAGCUCCGUUUUUCACGAAAUUUGGUUUGUUGGAUUCUAGACUUCAAGAGAAAUCCGUGGAACCCAAUAUCUCAGAAUUUGAUUGAGGUUAGCUUGGUCAAUUUUGUGUUUCUCUUCACUGAUGGUGGUUUGGACCUGAUUUUUGAGUUUCUUGGAUUCUCUUGGUGCAAUCUGUGGAAGGAGCUGGAAUUGCUACCUGAGCCUUGUAUGUUAUCACCCUCCACUGGAUUUGGGACCUUCCUCAUCCGAUUUGGAAGUGAUUAGGUGGGUUUUGACAUUGAAGUUCGGAGAUUUUAAAGCUUAAGUGCUGGAAAUUGGGAUUUUGAUGUAAUUAUUGAUGUUUUGAUGUCUAGACCUUGGAGGAUCUUUGUUGCUAGUUGGGUGUGAUUUCGGCUGAAGCUCACAGUAGAUUUGUGACCUUCUUGCUGCCAGGGAAUUGCUUUUGUGGUGGGUUAAUUCACCGGGUUUUACUCCUAAGCAUCGUAUAGUAAACAUAUAUAGUUUCAACUUUUAUACACUAUGUCAUUAGCUUGAAUUCAUCGAUUAGCACCUUGACUGAAAUCUGAAUUUGAAGCAUGCUGGAAUGAGUUAGAAAUUUGAUACAUGUUGGACUUGGAAAUAGAAUUAGGAGAAAACCAACGAUUCGACCCCGUCAUAUGCUUAAACUACCUGAUUUAGCUUUAGGAGCCGUGGUAGUUUGUAUCACCGCAGUUUCAGCGCGGUGGGUACCCAGGGUAGUUUAGAAUGCAUUUACGCUCAUGCUGUGUCACGCCCUGAGCCCGAUCCUUUUGGCCGGUUCGAGAGCGUCAAACAGACGCCGAACGGACAGAGCCUCCCCUGUCCGCCCAAGGCUCAACACAAGUAUCAAUAGAGUAUAAAGUUUGCAUGAGCGGAAGUAUACACAAUGGCUUGCACGAGGAUAAACAAUAGUCAAUAGUGAAAGUAAAUAACUAC